CAUACAGCUCAGUAACACGUGGCUAACCUGCCCUUGGGACCAGAAUACCCCCGGGAAACUGGGGCUAAUUCUCGAUAGGCGAAGAACUCUGGAAUGAGUCUUCACUUAAAAGAGAUUGCGUUAUGCUCGUAGUUUCGCCCAAGGAUGGGGCCGCGACCGAUCAGGUUGUUGGUGAGGUAAUGGCUCACCAAGCCUUUUACCGGUGCGGGCCGUGGGAGCGGGAGCCCGGAGAUGGGCACUGAGACAAGGGCCCAGGCCCUACGGGGCGCAGCAGUCGCGAAAACUUUGCAAUAAGCGAAAGCUUGACAGGGCUAUCCCGAGUGCCAUCCGCUGAGGAAGGCUUUUACCCAGUCUAGAACGCUGGGGGAAUAAGGAGAGGGCAAGUCUGGUGUCAGCCGCCGCGGUAAUACCAGCUCUCCGAGUGGUGUGGAUGUUUAUUGGGCCUAAAACAUCCGUAACUGGGCUAGUUAGUCCCCUGUUAAAUCCACCAAAUCAAUCGUUGGAUUGCGGGGCAAUCCGGUUUGACUAGGGGAGGAACACAGGCACAAGGGUUUUUCCAGGU
Molecule: ribosomal RNA, 562 nt
Filed under: uncultured archaeon
Lineage: Archaea
Description: bacterial SSU rRNA
Rfam family: Archaeal small subunit ribosomal RNA
Source: RNAcentral